RNAcentral lists this ribosomal RNA (649 nucleotides) under Stenotrophomonas sp. BPHB-1. RNAcentral's name for it is "bacterial SSU rRNA". It matches the Rfam family "Bacterial small subunit ribosomal RNA", at positions 98 to 742 of the family's 1533-position model. The record is from RNAcentral. Lineage: Bacteria; Pseudomonadati; Pseudomonadota; Gammaproteobacteria; Lysobacterales; Lysobacteraceae.
GCUCAGGGUGAGGAUACAUCUCCAAUCUAAUUUUUCGUGCGGGAUAACGUAGGGAAACUUACGCUAAUACCGCAUACGACCUACGGGUGAAAGCAGGGGAUCUUCGGACCUUGCGCGAUUGAAUGAGCCGAUGUCGGAUUAUCUAGUUGGCGGGGUAAAGGCCCACCAAGGCGACGAUCCGUAGCUGGUCUGAGAGGAUGAUCAGCCACACUGGAACUGAGACACGGUCCAGACUCAUACGGGAGGCAGCAGUGGGGAAUAUUGGACAAUGGGCGCAAGCCUGAUCCAGCCAUACCGCGUGGGUGAAGAAGGCCUUCGGGUUGUAAAGCCCUUUUGUUGGGAAAGAAAUCCAGCUGGCUAAUACCCGGUUGGGAUGACGGUACCCAAAGAAUAAGCACCGGCUAACUUCGUGCCAGCGGCCGCGGUAAUACGAAGGGUGCAAGCGUUACUCGGAAUUACUGGGCGUAAAGCGUGCGUAGGUGGUCGUUUAAGUCCGUUGUGAAAGCCCUGGGCUCAACCUGGGAACUGCAGUGGAUACUGGGCGACUAGAAUGUGGUAGAGGGUAGCGGAAUUCCUGGUGUAGCAGUGAAAUGCGUAGAGAUCAUGGAGGAACAUCUAUGGCGAAGGCAGCUACCUGGGACCAACAUUG